This is an RNA transcript of Brassica napus (rape), 8711 nucleotides long. It is a transcript of the gene named B3 domain-containing protein REM7-like, with no coding region annotated. Lineage: Eukaryota; Viridiplantae; Streptophyta; Magnoliopsida; Brassicales; Brassicaceae. The record is from RefSeq and is a predicted model, not a curated record. The transcript is spliced from 2 exons.
UUCAUUAAGUCAGCUGUUAAGCGAUAGAUACGUAGUUACGGCCGAUUUAUCUUUACGUUACGGCUGACUUAAUACAUACGACUGACUUAAGUGAAAGUGGCUGACUUAAAACUAUAAGUCAGCUUGCCGAUACAACUGAUUUACAGAAAUCCGGCUGAGUUAUGUGAUCACGGCUGACUUAAUGAUACAAAUGACGGCUGACUUAUACAUCGGCGGUUUGAUUUCUGGAAAAUUUGGCUGAGUCGUGGUUAAGAAACGGCUGAGAAACUUUUUUUCAGCUGAGUAAAGGAACAUGGAUGGGCUGGGUUAUUGAAGCCACGGCUGAGUUAUGGGAUGCUGUUACGACUGGGUUUGUAUUAGUCAGCCGUUAAAGCAUGGAUAAACAGUAAACUCAGCUGCUUUGCGGCUGACGUAUGAGCGAAAGAUUAAUUACUAGAAUGUUCUCGUUUGAUGGCUGAUUUACGUAACGAUACGGCUGACAUAUGGUUGUUCAUCCUUAUUGCGGCUGACUUACCGUCAAAAGAUUAAUUACUAGAAUGUUUCCAUGUAUCGGCUGACAAAGUGUAAACAUGAUGGCUGACUUAUUUUGGCUGAGUUACUGAUUUGUUUGUCGGCUGAUUAAUCGAUGUUCCAUGUCAUCUGCCAUGUCAUCAACUCGGAUUUGACAUGUCAUCACUAACGGUCGCCCAAUUUACAACUGAGUUACGAGACCUUUCAGUUGUCUUCUUCAUCUUAUUUUUGAAUGAUUACACAGCCUUUCUUUUCUUCUUCAUCAUCUCAGUUAUCUAUCCUCUUCAUCUUUCUCAUAUGGUAAUGGAUCCCGUUAUUAUUGUUUCCGGUAAAUGGAUUAUGAAAAAACGAUAUGUAUUCAACGUCGACAGUAGAGGGUGUAGAGUUCUUCAUUUAGGUGAGAAAACUAAACUUGAAGAUUUCACAAAGUCUGUCAUCGACGAUUACGGUUUGAAUGAUUUGAAGGUUCAUAUUCUGCUUAGCUACAUGUUUUCGAAUAAAACAUUGAAAACAAUGGCGCACAACACUCCACCAGUUUACGUGUCCAACACUCGACAAUUGCAAUGUUUUCUAAGCUUAAAGAAAAGCGAACAACUACGUCUCUGUGUGGAGAUUACAGAGAAAAAGGAUGACAGCUCAGACGUAGAAGCUUCAGAAGAAGAAGCUUCAGAAGAAGAAGCUUCAGAAGAAGACGCUUCAGAAGAAGAAGCUUUAGAAGAAGAAGCUUUAGAAGUUGAGUCUAUAGAGAAUGGGAGUUACGAUGGUUGCAGUUUGGAGGAUGAACAAGAUGAAAUUGAGAAUGACUGCUUUAGUAACGUUGAAAUACACGACGUAGCCGGAGAAGAUGAAAUAGGCAAAGAAAACGAAGAAGAUGAUGAAUUUGAAAGUCGAUUUGAUAUGUUCGAUGACUCGGACGGUGCGUCAUCUGAAGAUGAUAACUUCAGCACAUACGGUGAGUCUCCUAUCGAAGAAGACGAAGAUUCACCAACGCUACCUUCCAAGAAGAGAUAUCAGAACUUCUUGAUGAGCGAAUCUAAAGGGAAUCUGGAGGUUUUGAAGUUGGAGAUGUCGUCGUUAGACCUUGCGGUAGGACAACGAUACUUGACUAAAAAGCAUUUGAAGAGACGACUGAAACUUUUUACAGUGAGGCAUCAAUUUGAUUUUGAUGUAGAAAUAUCAAACCUGACAACAUACGUUGUUAAGUGUUGGGUUGAUGGAUGUACAUGGAGAGUUCGUGCAUCUACCGAAGGAUUGUCCCCGCAGUUUUAUAUUCGUAUUUACGACUCGGAUCAUGCAUGUUCUGUAACUGAGCGUUCUAAUCGAUCUCGAAAUGCAACACCGGAUAUUUUAGGAGAGUUGUACAAGAACUUUCUCGGCGACGUUGGUCCGGCCGUUCGCCCUGAGAGUGUCGGAAUAGCUAUCACUAAGCAGUUUGGUGUAAAGGUAAUUAUGUUACAACGGCUGAGUUAUGGUAGAGUAUAGGCUGGGUUAUUUUAUGUUAGAAAUGGCUGAGUUACAAAACUAUGGUUGAGUUAUGUUUACGUUGUGACCGUCUUAAUGAUAUGAUGUGGCUGAGUUAUGUAAAUUGUUUUUUCAUGUGAGCAGAUGGAAUAUUGGAAAUCACACCGGACGCUUAAAUGUGCAAGGGAAAUCGAUGAGGGCACACCUGAGUGUGGUUUUGAACUCUUGCCUUCUUACUUAUACAUGAUAAGAAGGGCAAAUCCGAAUACAGUUACGCGUCUUCAAAUCGAUGAGCUUGGAAGAUUCAUGUAUGUGUUUCUUGCGUUUGGUGCGAGCGUUAAUGGGUUUCCUUUCAUGCGCAAAGUUGUUGUCGUCGACGGUACGUUUCUUAAUGGUAAAUAUAAAGGGACGCUACUCACAGCACUAGCUCAGGAUGGUAACUUUCAGAUUUUUCCAAUAGCCUUCGCAGUGGUUGACACUGAAAAUGAUGAUUCGUGGAAUUGGUUUUUUACGCAACUAAAAGUGUUGAUUCCUGACCAGGAGGGUCUUGCGAUAAUAUCAGAUAGGCAUAACUCGAUAGGGAAAGCAAUUACAAAUGUGUAUCCGUUAGCUGCUCGUGGAAUAUGCACCUAUCAUUUGUAUAAAAACAUAUUGGGACGGUACAAAGGAAAAGAUGUAUUUCGGCUGGUGAAGAAAGCGGCGAGAUGUUUUAGAAUGUCUGACUUUGAUAUGAUUUUCGAGGAGAUUGAAGCACUUAAUCCUGAUCUCCACGGCUACCUCGAAAGAGCUGAUGUCAGACUGUGGACACGUGUUUAUUUCCCGGGCGAGAGGUACAAUUUGAUGACUACGAACAUAGCGGAAUCAAUGAACAGAGCAUUAUCGCAUGCUAGAGGUCUUAACAUUGUUCGAAUAUUGGAAUCGAUACGGGUUAUGAUGACCAGAUGGUUUGCUGAACGAAGAGUGGAUGCCAGAUCGCAGUCAACCACACUCACGCGCGGUGUGGAGAAACUAUUACAAGUAAGUCAGUCGUAACAGUAAAAUAAGUCAGUCUUUAAAUCUAAUAAGUCAGUCGUUAUAUUGCAUAAGCCAGCUUUAUAAAUAAUAAGUAAGCCGUUUCACGAAUAUUGGGUUUUGUUAAUAGGGACGUGUAAGUGCCUCCCGGGAUUGGACGGUUCAAAGGAUUGAUGACCAUCACACUGAAGUUAAAUAUGGCGCUGCUGGCGAGUCUUUGAAUGUUGUUAAUUUGGUUGAGCGAAAGUGCACAUGUCGGCGUUUCGAUGUCGAGAAAAUACCAUGUGUACACGCAAUCGCAGCUGCAGAGGAAAGAAAUGUUUCUCGUAUAUCACUGUGCAGUCCUUACUAUAAAAGCACUUAUUUAGCUAGCGCAUACGCUGAAUCGGUCAUGCCGGUUGACUCAGCGCUACCUGUUCCAGAUAACGUGGCUAACGUACAGUGCUUUCCACCGUUUAUUCGUCAACAACCGGGAAGACCUAAAAAAAAUAGGAUGAAAUCUGCUUUAGAAGUUGCACUUGCAAACAAACGUCCUAGGAAAGAGCACAUAUGUUCUCGUUGCAGUCAAAGUGGACAUAAUGCGAGAACUUGUCCGAUAUAAGCAAUUGCUUUUCAUGUUGUUUUGUAAUACGGCUGGGUUUUGUGUUGUAAUACGGCUGGGUUUUGUGUUGUAAUACGGCUGGGUUUUAUUUUCAUUGAUUUGCACAACGGCUGGAUUAUUAAUUGUAAUACGGCUGGGUUUUGUGUUGUAAUACGGCUGGGUUUUUUUGUUUUAAUGUUCUAUGACGGCUGCGUUAAUGUUUUUCAAAUUUUGUAUUGUGGUUGGGUUUUUAUUUUCAUUGAUUUGCCCGCUUCCCAUUACUCAAGAGAGACACAGACAUCGAAAAACGAAAUGUCCGUACUUAAUUGCCCUACGUUACGUAAUAGCCCCUACGUAAUUAUUGAUUAUAAAGUGGAAUACGAAAGUAGCGAAUUAAAUUAAGAGAAAUUAAUCUUCAUUGGCUGAGAUAAUGUUACUCACACGCCUAAUAAUUGUCGUGAUUUCUAAUGUCAGCUCUUUUAUUCAAACGCAGUUGAAAAAAACUUCCCCGCUAGAAACACGAAACGUCGCGAAGUCAACUAAGGCUGAGUUAUUGUAAUACACGGCUGAGUUAUGGAUUAAAUUCCCGCUCAAAAUAAGAAAUAAGAAACGCCGCGAUACGAAACUACAACCGUUAACUGCAGAUAAAUAAGGUACUUCUCAAACAAUUACACAUCUUCAACUCUCUAUCUUUUACACAACUGUCCUCUCAGAGAAAAUGGAAUAUUUCCCUCUGCUUGAAUUGCCUGAAGAUCUUCAGGCAAUGGUGGUUGAACGUGUGGCCCGUAACUCCUUCCAAGAUCUCUACCGCCUCAGAGCAUCGUCCAGGUCGAUGAAGGCGUUAGCAGAGAUGCGUAGGGUAUACCAUUAUUUCGAUGUGUUAUCCUUUCCCUGGGGUCUCAUUAUGCCAUCUCAGUUGUUGAAAACUUGCUACGCUGAGAACAAUCCAAGCACAAUUUAUGUAAAGGGUGUACAGUUUUUCUACUCAUACGAUGAGCAAGAUUAUGGCCUUUCUCUCCUCAAGCGUGCAGCAGAUGCAGGAUAUGAGCGUGCAGUGUAUACACACGCUAUGACUCAAGCAAUCUUUUACGGUGAUGCGCAGUAUUUUCGGAGAAUUCCAAGAGCAACUGUUGACAGGGUCGGGAAACUUGUUCGAGAUGCGAAAUGGGGAUGGGGUUUGUGGCAUACUGACGAGUUCCGUCAAAUUAAGGCCAUGUUCACUUCUACUUAUGUUCCGUCCUUCUACCUUUGCCAAUGUGCAAAUGUUGUGGACCGACAAUGUCUCUGCCUAUGGCACAUUGAUGUGACUAAGGACGACAACAUGUGUGAGCGCUGUUUCUGGAUCAAAGAGAUUUCCUUGUUCUUUCGUGAUUUUGAACCGAUAAGCCUGUUUAGGGACACAAGUAAGUGGUGAAGAUGUCUCUGCAUCAGAAUCUUAUCUUUUUUAUGUUUUUUGCUAUGCCAUUAUGUAUGUCGAACAAAAAAUUAUAUAUUCUGUUUUUAUGGCUGACUUAUUUUCUUAUGGCUGAGUUAUUUUCAUCUUAUGGCUGACUUAUUUUCAUCUUAUGGCUGAGUUAUUUUCAUCUUAUGGCUGACUUAUUUUCAUCUUACGGCUGAGUUAUUUUCAUCUUACGGCUGAGUUAUUCUCAUUUAUUCAUCUUAUGACUGUUUUUUGAUUGUUCACCUAAACGUUAAGACUGAUAUUAUUACAUGUUACGGCUGAGUUGUUGUUUCGGAAGAAAUUAACAACGGCUGAGUUAAAUCCGAGUUACAUAAACAUAGACUGACUUAUGAGUACAGAAUCUGAGUAAACAAAGAAGUAGUAGUAGCAACUAAUACAUUUAAGACUUCAUCCUAAGACAUUCAAUAAUUUUUAUGAUCUCAGUUAUGUCUUUCUUCAUAUCAUCUAAUUCUGCUUUUAUAGCGGCCAAAUCCUGCUCUAUCGUCGCGAGUUUGUUUGCCACAACUACAAACUCUUCAUCAUGUGCUUCAUCAAGCCAUUUGAAAACAUGGUUUUGACCCGAAUUUGCUCCACAUCGAUAAAAUCUUCUACCCGGAUUCUUUAUUGUACCUGACGUUAACACAAUGGUAGCAGCUCCACAGUCGCACGUCCUUGGAAUUCCACGCUGUAGAUCCAUCUAAUUUAUACAUCAUAGCACACAAAAAAUAAUGCAAAAUCGAACAAGGCCAAAAUACAAAAAAUAAUUCAAAAUCGAUUUUGGACGAAAGAGACUUACUUUAGGUUUUAGAAGUCGACUCUGGUUUUUCCUUUAUCUUUUACUUGUAAAUAUUGGAAAUAUAAUAGGGAAAUCAUAUUAAAUAUAAAGAUCACGCGUGUCCAAAUAAAAUAAACAUAUAAUGACCUCGAUAUCGUAAAUUACUCGGACAUGCGUGUCAGGACAUAACUCGACACUGAGUUAAAUUAUGUAUGACUCUUUUGGCCAACUUUUAUUUUUCGACAUCAUUAAAUAUUAACAAUUUUACGACUGAGGUUUAGUUUUCGGUAUUAUUAAUUAUUAACAAUGUUACGGCUGAGUUUUAUUCUUCGGCAUUAUUAAUUAUUAACAAUGUUACGGCUGAGUUAUAUUUUCCGGCAUUAUUUACUUUACACAAGGCAAAAAAAAGAAAUCAUUUUCGUCCCAACGCGAAAAAAAAAGAAAAGCUCUCGACGACAGGCGAUUUCGAAGCGUCUCGAUACGAAGGUAAAACCGAAGCCUCUCUUUUGCAGAUUUGUGGAUUCAGCUUAGGUUCGAUGAUGUUUUCUUCCCAUUCUUUUCUUGUUUGCAGAUGCCUAAUUCGCACAAACCUCAUUUCUUGAAGCCUCUGCUUCCCGAUUUCCACAGUGGCGUGGUAGACACACACUCUCUAUUUCUCAUGUGUAUAUGUUCCUAUUUUAGAGUUUGCUUAACUUUGGCUUUUCUGACCUGCAGACAAUACCACUUGGCUUCUUCUCACAGCACAUAGAAGGGAAGACAAACCGGAAAACAUGGAAACUAAGAUCGGACGCUACAGAUCAAACUUGGGAAGUGAUACAAGAAGGCAGGAGACUCACCGGAGGUUGGAAAGAUUUCACCACAGCACAUGACCUUCAAAUCGGUGACAUUGUCAUCUUCAAACACGAAGGAGAUAUGGUGUUUCAUGUCACACCAUUUGGUCCUAGCUGUUGUGAGAUUCAGUAUACACAUCCUCACAUCAUCAAGGAAGAAGCCGAUGCGGAUGAUGCUCCUUCUUUCUCAUUUGACUAUUGUUUUCAGGCUGAGGUCACUGCUUCGAAUCUAAAAGAAGACAAACUUUAUCUUCCUGAGGGAGCUACGACUUGUACUGCUUUGAACAAACAAUGCCAAGAGAUAAUACUUGUCAACAAAGAGGGAAAUUCAUGGACUGUGAGUUUGCGAUUUAGCGAAGCAGACGGCAUGUAUUACAUCAGAAGAGGCUGGAGAAAGUUCUGUCGUGCUAACAGAUGCGCCAUAGGAGACUUAUUUGUGUUCAAUGUGGUUGGAGAUGGGAAAACUACUCCACUAAUGUGUGUAUGUCCGGAAAGGGAAGAGUGAUUUUGAACCUAAACUUAUGUAUGUCGAACCAGAAAUUUAUGUAUGUCUCUUUUUAUGGCUGACUAAUAUUCAUAUUAUGGUUGAGUUAUUGUUUAUGUUAUUGUUUGAUUAUGACUGACUUCCACUGAACGUUAUAGCUGAGUUACUAUCUUAUUAUGACUGACGAAUACUCAUAUAAUGGCUGGGUUAUUGUUUGAUUAUGACUUAAUUAACGUAACGGCUGAGAUGCAGUGAACGUUAUAACUGAGUUAUUAAAACAUUAUGACUGACGAAUACUCAUAUUAUGGCUGGGUUAUUGUUUGAUAGUGACUUAAUUAACGUAACGGCUGAAUUGCAGUGAACGUUAUAACUGAGUUAUUAAAACGUUAUGACUGACGAAUACUCGUAUUAUGGCUGGGUUAUUGUUUGAUUAUGAAUUAAUUAACGUACUGGCUGAGUUGCAUUGAACGUAAUAGCUGAGUUACUAAAAACAUUGCGUCUAAAUUAUGAUUACAACACAUGACUACGCAAAGAAAUAGUGCCAAAAUAUGGCCAUACCAAACCCACAAACCACCACUGGAAACAUCAAACACUUCAUCUUUUCCGCUUUACCGAGUUCUUUCUCCAACCGACCAACGUCUACUCUCAGAUCUGAUAUGCCUUUGGUCAUGUCACUCAUCACCGAUUUCAUAUCUUCUACCUCUUCCACCAAGCACUCGUCCGCCCAUUUGAAUAAAUGUCUCUGAUUUCACCAACAUGCCCAGCUCUUAGUAUCACAUUGACAGUAUAAUGAAUAAAAUUAAAAAUCAAACCUUAAUAUAUCCUUUGCGACAGCAAUAGUACAGUCUUCCUGGAUUAGCCCGUGAUGCAGAUGUACAUAAUUCAGCGGGUUCACCACACCAACACUGUUUCGGCGUUCCUCUUUCCACAUGCCGGCGGUGAAAGUAAGUGUUACCAGACACAGAUGAUGAAGAAGACAUUUUCUUUGAAUGAAAGAGAAAUUGGUGUGAAAGACAAAGUUAAAACAAUAGUGGUAGUAAUAUAAAAUCAUUUUUUUUUAAAAAUUCAAAUAAAGAGGAAUAAUUUAAAUUAAUAAACUAUUAAAUGCCUCGAUAUUAGGUUUGAGCCGUAUUUUUCCACACACGUGAUGCACUUUAAUUAUGACGAAUACUCAAUCAAAUCAAGAAAUACGAAAGGUUCUUUAUUAUUUUAUCAAACACUUAAGUUGAAUUCGUAUUACGGCUGUGUUAGCGUCUAUAUUUUGGCUGAGUUAACGUAGACGUAUUGACUGAGUUACAUUAAAAAUAACAAUACCUCGAUUAUGUAAAUAAUCCGAUACAUGCGUGCCAGCCGUAUAAUAAUGAGUCUCGAUAUUCUCAAUGCAAACGAAAUUUCUCAUGCACAUAAUAAUAAGAGAAUAAAGGUCUCUAAUAAUAGUAGUCUCGAUAAUGUAAUGACGGCCAUAAUAAUGAGUCUCGAUAUUCUCAAUGACGAUGGAAUUUCUCGCACGUAUAAUAAUAAGAGAAUAAAGGACUCUAAUACUGGUCUCGAUUAAGUAAUGGCGGCCAUAAUAAUACAUUGAAAAUAGCGUUAACUAUGGCUUUGUAUUUUUACAAUAU